CCCCCCACACUUUGGCCUGAACAGCUCUCAGCAUUCCUUCUUCAUCUCCUCUUCUUCAUCUCCUCUUCUUCAUCUCCUCUUCAACCUCCCCCACCCCCGUGGCCCCUCUUCAAGGUGCCGCAUUUCGCAGGCGUGGGAGCAGGUGGGGGGGCCAGGUUCAUUAACGAGGCCUGCGGGAAUGAGGAUUGGCUUGCCCACCGUGCUAACUGGACUGGAGGAAGAAAGAAAAGUCAGAAAAGAGAGAGCCAUGUUCAGCUGAACAGGCAGCUUUCCCAGAUCCUGCUGGCCCAGGCCUAGGGCCUGAGGUGGGUGCCCUGCCUACCCACUCAAGACGAAAGAACACUUAGGAAUCCUUGAUUGUGGGGACGCCUGGGUGGCGCAGUCAGUUAGGGGCCCGACUCUUGGUUUCGGCUCAGGUCAUCAUAUCAGGUCGUGGGAUCCAGCCCUGCGCUGGGCUCCACGCUCAGUGUGGAAUCUGUUU
Molecule: long non-coding RNA, 481 nt
Filed under: Ursus maritimus (polar bear)
Lineage: Eukaryota; Metazoa; Chordata; Mammalia; Carnivora; Ursidae
Description: lncRNA (ENSUMAG00000017582.1)
Source: RNAcentral